AAAAAGGUGCGCAGCCCGGUAGCGCAUCUGGUUUGGGACCAGAGGGUCAGAGGUUCGAAUCCUCUCUCUUU
RNAcentral lists this transfer RNA (71 nucleotides) under Shewanella sp. RNAcentral describes it as "tRNA-Pro". It matches the Rfam family "tRNA". From Rfam's summary of the family: Transfer RNA (tRNA) molecules are approximately 80 nucleotides in length. Their secondary structure includes four short double-helical elements and three loops (D, anti-codon, and T loops). Lineage: Bacteria; Pseudomonadati; Pseudomonadota; Gammaproteobacteria; Alteromonadales; Shewanellaceae. The record is from RNAcentral.